Molecule: non-coding RNA, 45 nt
Filed under: Schistosoma margrebowiei
Lineage: Eukaryota; Metazoa; Platyhelminthes; Trematoda; Strigeidida; Schistosomatidae
Source: RNAcentral
AUUCAGUUGACGAAUCCCAAAUAGGACGAAACGCGUGUCCUGAAU